Molecule: ribosomal RNA, 138 nt
Filed under: uncultured eukaryote
Lineage: Eukaryota
Description: partial 18S ribosomal RNA
Rfam family: Eukaryotic small subunit ribosomal RNA
Source: RNAcentral
UGGUGGGUUGCCUUGUCAGGUUGAUUCCGGUAACGAACGAGACCUCAGCUUGCUAAAUAGUCAGCAUCGCACCUGCGGUGCGCCGACUUCUUAGAGGGACUAUUGGCGUUUAGCCAAUGGAAGUUUGAGGCGAUAACA